RNAcentral lists this transfer RNA (72 nucleotides) under Acromyrmex echinatior (Panamanian leafcutter ant). It matches the Rfam family "tRNA". Rfam says of the family: Transfer RNA (tRNA) molecules are approximately 80 nucleotides in length. Their secondary structure includes four short double-helical elements and three loops (D, anti-codon, and T loops). Further hydrogen bonds mediate the characteristic L-shaped molecular structure. tRNAs have two regions of fundamental functional importance: the anti-codon, which is responsible for specific mRNA codon recognition, and the 3' end, to which the tRNAs corresponding amino acid is attached (by aminoacyl-tRNA synthetases). tRNAs cope with the degeneracy of the genetic code in two manners: having more than one tRNA (with a specific anti-codon) for a particular amino acid; and 'wobble' base-pairing, i.e. permitting non-standard base-pairing at the 3rd anti-codon position. The record is from Rfam by way of RNAcentral. Lineage: Eukaryota; Metazoa; Arthropoda; Insecta; Hymenoptera; Formicidae.
ACUUUGAUAGUCUAAAGGCUUAAGACGCUCUAUGGAAUACAAGAGAUCCGGGUUCAACUCCCGACCGAAGUA